Molecule: ribosomal RNA, 366 nt
Filed under: uncultured organism
Description: bacterial SSU rRNA
Rfam family: Bacterial small subunit ribosomal RNA
Source: RNAcentral
CGGAGGAUCCAAGCGUUAUCCGGAAUCAUUGGGUUUAAAGGGUCCGUAGGCGGUUUUAUAAGUCAGUGGUGAAAUCUGGUCGCUCAACGAUCAAACGGCCAUUGAUACUGUAGAACUUGAAUUACUUGGAAGUAACUAGAAUAUGUAGUGUAGCGGUGAAAUGCUUAGAGAUUACAUGGAAUACCAAUUGCGAAGGCAGGUUACUACAAGUAUAUUGACGCUGAUGGACGAAAGCGUGGGGAGCGAACAGGAUUAGAUACCCUGGUAGUCCACGCCGUAAACGAUGGAUACUAGCUGUUUGGAGCAAUCUGAGUGGCUAAGCGAAAGUGAUAAGUAUCCCACCUGGGGAGUACGCUCGCAAGAGUG